Pelobates cultripes (western spadefoot toad) is the source of this 131-nucleotide non-coding RNA. NCBI's taxonomy places the organism in Eukaryota, Metazoa, Chordata, Amphibia, Anura, Pelobatidae. The record is from the annotation of a GenBank genome assembly.
AAGCAUUCACAAUGCAGACCCUCCCUCCCAGACCCUCCCACUUCUUGGACAGCUCACUAAGAAUGCAGCUUCACAAUGGAUGCUGUCCAGGAGGUGGGAGGGUCUGGGAGGGAGGGUCUGCUGCUGAUUGG